CGAAUACAGGAGUGAGGUGCGAAACUUAAGUUUACUUCACAUCAUCGUCGUUUUAAUCUGUUUAAAGUUUGCCUGGCUUUCAUCACUGCGACAACCACUUGGAAUAUCCAGUGUCAUCACAGAAGAUAAAUGUGCCGUUCUCUCAAAACAUGGAAAGAAGUGACUCGCCCAGUGUUUCAGAUGACUAAUCCGGAGCUGGACAUCAGAAUCUGAACUCAGUGCGACUUCCAUCAAAAGUGACUUGUCAUUGACACUUCAGCCAGAAUUCUCAGCAAGCAUGUGGAGAAAUCAAAGCUUGGGAGGUCUUCAGGUCAAAACUUAAAAAGAAGAAGUUUUGGUGUCUGCUAGGAAUCAACACAAAGCAAUCCAAAGCCUCUUAGUGAGAUCUACAUAUCUCUACGUCACAGAGAUCAAUAAUGUACAUACAAUCAGAUGGAUUGAAACGGCGUGUAGGAGAACAAUGGCACCAAACAGACCAAUCGAUCUGAAUGACAUUACCUGGACAAGACCAACCCAUCAGAAAUGUACACAUUUUUUUUUAUGGAUACAAAAUGACAAUGAUUGCCUCUCCAAAUGAAGUUAAAAUUGUUUUCAUCUUCGAUGGUUUGGAUGAGUGUCAUCUGUCUUUGGCUCGCUCGACCUUCCGACAGAGACAAGAAGGGAGAAAGAUAUAUGUAUGGGUAUACUUGUAAUUAUAAGCAUAAUUGGGCGUAAAUUACAACUUGACCUGUUGUUGACAUAAAGAGGCACUAAGAGGCACUUACAACUGACACACUAAUAAAUAUUUCUGCGUUGCACCACUGAACAAGUUUAAACCUAAUUUGAUACAGAACCCUCCAAAUAGGACUAACUGUUGAAAAUUCUAAUUUUGUAUUUUAAAUGAAAGAACACUGUGGAAAAAAAAAAAAAAAA
Molecule: long non-coding RNA, 912 nt
Organism: Labeo rohita (rohu)
Lineage: Eukaryota; Metazoa; Chordata; Actinopteri; Cypriniformes; Cyprinidae
Exons: 4
Source: RefSeq, a predicted model, not a curated record